Molecule: ribosomal RNA, 230 nt
Filed under: Acanthamoeba castellanii
Lineage: Eukaryota; Discosea; Longamoebia; Acanthamoebidae
Description: partial 18S ribosomal RNA
Rfam family: Eukaryotic small subunit ribosomal RNA
Source: RNAcentral
UUUGGCCCAAAAUCGUUUACCGUGAAAAAAUUAGAGUGUUCAAAGCAGCAGAUCCAAUUUUCUGCCACCGAAUACAUUAGCAUGGGAUAAUGGAAUAGGACCCUGUCCUCCUAUUUUCAGUUGGUUUUGGCAGCGCGAGGACUAGGGUAAUGAUUAAUAGGGAUAGUUGGGGGCAUUAAUAUUUAAUUGUCAAGGUGAAAUUCUUGGAUUUAUGAAAGAUUAACUUCUGC